RNAcentral lists this long non-coding RNA (6264 nucleotides) under Olea europaea (common olive). RNAcentral's name for it is "long non-coding RNA (OEUR_LNC000449)". The record is from RNAcentral. Lineage: Eukaryota; Viridiplantae; Streptophyta; Magnoliopsida; Lamiales; Oleaceae.
CAACUGUCUUCAUUCGUUGGUUUUAUUUUUUUAUUUUUAGAAGGUAGAAGGAAGAGAGAAGAAGAAAGAAAGUGAGAAGAGAGGGUGGAUUUGAUAAACCUCCCGUCCGGCUCACCUAUUCUAGAAGAGGCAGGAAGGUUGGAGAUCCAUCUGGAAGGAGUUAAAGAGCACCUAAUAGUUUGUUACGUGAAAUGGAAAUCUGUUGGGGGAGGAUUUGGGAGGGAAAUUCUGUUAAAGUAGCAACUAUAAAUAAACAUAGGGAGGAAGAGUAUAGGUAGGCAGUAAUUGAGAGUAGUAGAAGUGGUAGGGAUAGCAGAGUUCCUGAAUUUGGCUCUGUUAUUUUCUUUACUGUAAUCCGUUCUUCAAUUCAAUAAAAGUUCUAUUUGAGAUCUUAACAAAGUGGUAUCAGAGCACGUCGAGUCCUGAUAGCACAAAAAAAAAACAGAUAGCAAGGUGGAAGCCAUUGAUAAAGAGGUGGAGGAAAUGAAAUCAGAGUUGCAUCGUCUAGGUGAUUUGGAGAAGUCGGUGGAACAACUCUCACUGAGCAUGGCCAAGAUACUGCAAGCUGUGGAAGAAACGCAGAAAACCAUGAUUACUCUGAACCUCCCCAGAACAGCCAGGAGCAAAGGGGUGGGAGGAGAUGGAACGGGGAGUACGACAGAAAAGGGACUACCCACCAACGCUCUCCCAGGAUCCAUGAUGGAUCGCAAGGCAUCGAAUAAGAGGAGAUGGCCAGAAGGAUUGGAGGAGGCUAGCAUAGAAAGAACAAUGGCCACCGUCGAUCAAAGUUUGAUGGGAGGGGAUUGGCGUCGUGUGCGCAAGCUCGAGAUGCCGAUUUUCAGUGGUGAUGAUCCAGAUGGAUGGGUGUACCGAGCUGAAAGAUACUUCGAGAUUAAUGGGUUGACGGGGAAGGAGAAGCUGGCGGCAGUAGGGGUUAGCCUCGACGGUAGCGCCCUCUCAUGGUUACAAUGGAUGGAGGCAAGAGACCCAUUUAGAACUUGGGAAUCCUUCCGACAGAAGCUCCUAUUGAGAUUCCGGCCAACACAAGAGGGAAGUUUGUGUGAGAAACUUCUGGCUAUUCGACAAGAGAGGUCCGUUGAAGAGUACCGGAGAACAUUCGAAGCAUUGGCAGCUCCGUUGAUCGGUCUCCUUGAAGAAUUUCUGGAGAGUACGUUUAUUAAUAGACUCAACCUAACUAUAAAAGCUGAAGUUAGGCUGCAUCAACCAAAUGGGCUGGGCCGCAUCAUGGAGAUGGCCUAAAGGGUGGAAGAAAGGAACCAAGUAAUGAAGACCCUCCUCAAUCCUCAUGGCCAAAAAAUGAUUAAACCAAUUUCGGCUGUACAUUCAGGAGAGGCGAGAGGCGGUAAACCUUUCCCAAUUAGGUCAGUGACGGUAGGGGAGAAAACACCGUUCCCACGCAAGGAAACUCCAGUUCGGAGGUUGACUAAUGCAGAAUGGCAAGCAAGAAAAGAAAAGGGACUAUGUUUUCGUUGUGAUGAGAGGUUCACAAUUGGACACAAAUGUAAAAAUAAGGAGCUGAAGGUAUUAUUGUUACAAGAAGAAGAAGCCGAACCAGAGGAAAGCGAAGAGUCGCCGGCAACGGGCGACCCGCUGGAAGUGGUAGAAAUAGUAGAGCUGUCUCUAAAUUCGAUGGUAGGGCUCUCCACUCCAGGUACUAUGAAACUGUCAGGUGUGAUAAGGGGGAAGUGGUGGUACUUGUGGAUUGUGGGGCGACACAUAACUUCAUAUCAGCAGAAUUGAUUAAGCAGCUGGGAAUACCGACUGUGGCAACAACUAACUACGGAGUCGUUAUGGGGACUGGGGUGUCGGUCAAAGGAAAAGGGAUUUGCAAGAGGGUCAUGCUAGAGAUACAAGGGCUGAAAAUAGUGGAAGACUUUUUGCCACUAGAUUUGGGAAACACCGAUGUCAUCCUAGGAAUGUAGUGGCUGGGGAGCUUAGGCAGUAUGGAAGUCAAUUGGAAACUCCUCACGAUGAGUUUUCAAUUAGGAGAUGAGAUAGUUAUACUAAAGGGAAAUCAUAGGCGCAAUCAUACGGAAGUAUCUCUCAAAACUAUGGUAAAGGCCUUACAGCAAGAGGGUCAAGGGGUGUGGGUGGAGUUAAGAAGUCUAGGGGUAGAAGUAGGGGAAACUGAAAAUAAGCCACUACCUAUAGAAGUACAGCAAGUACUACAGAAAUAUGCUGCAGUUUUUGACAUGCCCAGGUCACUGCCACCAUCCCGGGAAAUUGAUCAUGCCAUCCCGUUGCAGGAAGGGACUGAUCCAAUUAAUGUGAGGCCAUACAGGUACCCUCACUUUCAGAAAAAUGAAAUUGAGCGCUUGGUCCAAGACAUGUUGAAUGCAGGAAUCAUACGGACUAGUACGAGUCCUUUCUCGAGUCCUGUGCUCCUAGUGAAAAAGAAGGACGGGGGCUAGAAGUUUUGUAUUGAUUACCGAGCAUUAAACAAAGCAACGGUUUUGGAUAAAUUCCCUAUUCCGGUCAUUGAUGAACUGCUGGAUGAAUUUCACGGGGCCACAAUAUUUUCUAAGCUGGACCUUAAGUCGGGAUACCACCAAAUUCGUGUGAGAAAGGAAGAUGUACCAAAGACCGCCUUCAGGACGCAUGAAGGACAUUAUGAAUUUUUGGUGAUGCCGUUUGGGCUAACAAAUGCCCCCGCAACUUUCAAUCCCUAAUGGAUCAGGUAUUCCGCGAGCACGUGCGCAAGUUCGUAUUAGUAUUUUUUGAUGACAUAUUGGUGUACAGCAAGGAUAUGGCAUCACAUGUCCAACACUUGGAAAAAGUCUUCAGGAUUUUGGCCUCCCAGCAGCUCUACGCUAAUGCAAAGAAAUGCCAAUUUGCCCGGACACAAAUUGAAUACCUCGGACACCUGGUCUCAGCAAUAGGUGUGGCCGCAGACCCAGACAAAAUUUCAGCCAUGACAAAUUGGCCAACGCCCAAAAACAUCAGGGAACUACGUGGAUUCUUGGGUUUGACCGGGUACUACCGUCGUUUCGUAGCAGGAUAUGGGGGAAUCUCUUGGCCCCUUACGCAACAGCUUAAGAAGGAUGCUUUUGGAUGGACAGUAGAGGCUGAGGCAGCUUUUCAGCAACUAAAAAAGGCCAUGUCUUCGGUGCUUGUGUUGGCCCUUCUUGAUUUCUCCAAACCUUUCAUUAUUAUUGAGGCAGACGCAUCGGGGUAUAGCGUGGGGGCCGUUCUGAUGCACAACCAGCAACCCAUAGCUUAUUUUAGCCAGGUUUUGUCCACUAGAUCACGCCUCAAGUCGAUGUACGAAAGAGAAUUAAUGGCAGUCGUCCUAGCUAUCCAGAAGUGGCGACACUACGUGUUGGGACGUCAUUUCAUAGUAAGAACCAACCAGCGAAGCCUAAAAUACUUACUGGAACAAAGAGUGGUUCAAGGGGAGUUCCAAAAGUGGCUAACUAAACUCAUGGGCUUUGAGUUUGAGCUCCAAUAUCGUCCCGGUUUAGAGAAUAAAGUUGCAGAUGCAUUAUCACGAAUAACUCCUCCCGUUGAGUUGUCAGCCAUCACAGUUCCAACUGUAUUAGAUGUUCAUAAGAUCUUGAGGCAGGUUGAGGCUGAUCCCCAACUAUCUAAAAUGAAGCAGGACUUAGCAGAGGACUCGGCCUCACACCCCUACUACUCCCUAGACCAUGGCAGACUGUUACACAAGGGGCGGUUGGUACUACCAGGUUCUUCCCCUCUGAUCCCCAAGCUCGUGCACGAAUUCCAUAGCAGCACUUUGGGAGGGCACUCAGGGUUCCUGCGAACUUACAAACGUCUCACGGGGGAUCUAUACUAGACAGGAAUGAAGAAGGAUGUGAAGAAGUAUGUUGAAGAAUGCCCUGUGUGCCAGAAAAAUAAAAGCCUCGCACUUUCUCCUGCAGGUUUGCCACAGCCUCUUCCUAUUCCACAACUGAUCUGGGAAAAUAUCUCAAUGGACUUCAUUGAGGGACUUCCAAAAUCCGGAGGCUAUGAUUCAAUUUUGGAGGUAGUAGACCGUCUAAGCAAGUAUGCUCAUUUCUUAGGCCUCAAACACCCCUUUACAGCAGUGAGUGUAGCUGGGGUUUUCAUCAGAGAGGUAGUAAAAUUACACGGUUUUCCCCGAUCGAUUGUCUCAGACCGUGAUAAGGUUUUCCUUAGUCACUUUUGGAGAGAGCUUUUUCGGCUAUAGGGAACUGUCCUCCGUAGGAGCACUGCUUACCAUCCUUAAACGGAUGGACAAACGGAGGUAGUGAACUAUUGCGUGGAAACUUACUUGAGGUGUUUCGCCUUUGACAAGCCUCGUAGUUGGUACACUUGGCUAGCUUGGGCCGAAUAUUGGUAUAACACCACUUUUCAUGCAUCAACCAACACUACUCCUUUUCGGGCUGUCUAUGGUCGCAAUCCCCCGCCACUCAUACGUUAUGGAAAUCAGCCUAUUUCAAUCUCAGAAGUAGAGUAGCAGCUGUCCAAUAGGGAUGAUAUCCUGAUUGAAUUGAAAUCACACCUUGAGCAGGCUCAAAACAAGAUGAAGAAUUCAGCUGAUCGACACCGACAGGAAGUUAUUUUCACGGUAGGGGAUCUGGUCUAUGUCAAACUCCGCCCUUACCGACUCCGUUCUCUAGCCAAAAAGCCUAAUGAAAAACUGAGCCCACGCUACUUUGGUCCCUUUCGAAUCUUGGAAUGCAUAGGACCUGUGGCUUACCGCCUGGACCUGCCUUCCAUAGCCACAAUUCACCCAGUGUUCCAUGUGUCACAGCUCAAAAAAGCAUUGGGACCUACUGAGAUAUGCCAGUUGUUACCUCCACAUCUUGACAGUAACUUGACUUGGAAUGUGGAACCAAAAAAGGUACUUGAGGUUCGACCAGCACCUGCAGACCCUCACUCAGGAUUCGAAGUUCUGAUUCAAUGGAAAGGGCUACCUGACUUCGAGGCUUCCUGGGAAUCAGCAGCCUCUAUCCUCCAACACUUUCCCGACUUCCACCUUGAGGACAAGGUGUCUUUGGAACCCGGGGUAUUGAUAAACCUCCCAUCCGGCUCACCUAUUCUAGAAGAGGCGGGAAGGUUGGAGAUCCAUCUGGAAGGAGUUAAAGAGCACCUAAUAGUUUGUUACGUGAAAUGGAAAUCUGUUGGGGGAGGAUUUGGGAGGGAAAUUCUGUUAAAGUAGCAACUAUAAAUAAACAUAGGGAGGAAGAGUAUAGGUAGGCAAUAACUGAGAGUAGUAGAGGUGGUAGGGAUAGCAGAGUUCCUGAAUUUGGCUCUGUUAUUUUCUUUUUUGUAAUCCGUUCUUCAAUUCAAUAAAAGUUCUAUUUGAGAUCUUAACAGGAUUCUCACAUUGGUUGAAAAUGAAAAGAAAAUGAGUUAUUAGUUCAUGAUUUGCAAAUUCGGCUUAGGCCUCAAGGGACACUUAAGUUUUGGGAAUGGAGAAGACUUCUUCUUGGUGAGUUUGGGCAAUACUCGACAUGCAGAGUCAUCGCCCUUUGACUUAGCUUGGUCCAUGAUCCAAUUAUUGUUUUAUGUUUGGUUUAAGAAUUGAUAUAAAUUUUUCAUUCGAAAAUUUAUAAAGUUUUAACCCAUUUUGUUUUGCUGAGUGGCGAUUUAAAAUUCAGUCUAGCACAAGUGACUGUCAAAAACAAAUCCAAUCAAACAUGAGUUUUGUGACUCACCCAGACUCGUGGGUGUUGCCGCUGCAGGAUGCUGCUCCAACCAUUUUGUCCCUUCAAUUUAAAUUCAAAUUUUGUGACUGUUGGAGGAAGCCCACUUGUCCUGUUUUCCGGGCAGUGUGUCCCUGAGGCUGAAAUGGUUAAUAUUUCAUAGAAAAGUCCUCUCCUUCAUAAUAGAGACAACCUUUCAUCUAAUAAUCUCAACUCUAUGUCAAACAACUCUUUGAAAGGAUAGUGGCCAUUGAACGAAUGGCCAUUAUUGUUGCCAUUUAAACACAUCAAUGCAAUAUAUUUUCUCCCUCAAUUUGUGCACAAAAAAUUCCUUUCAGUUUCUGUCAAACUAAUUCUUGAAAGUUUGACAAAAACCAAGAGUUCUGUUCUAUUGGUUCCACUGCCAUUGUGGUGCUAUUUCGUUUGAAACGAUGAUGCUUGCUGUUUUUGGAGGCAAUUUCUUAAGAUCUUAACCUUAGAGGGAGCAAAUUUAUCUUAAGAACAUAACACAAACUUGUCGGACUUGACUACUCUAAAUUCGAAUUUAAUUUGUUGACUUGUUCAAAAUUACUAGUGCAUUUUCUGUGAAUUUUAUACUGCGAUUAGAGAGUAAAAU